Non-coding RNA from Electrophorus electricus (electric eel), 531 nucleotides. The record is from RefSeq and is a predicted model, not a curated record. NCBI's taxonomy places the organism in Eukaryota, Metazoa, Chordata, Actinopteri, Gymnotiformes, Gymnotidae.
GUGUGUGUGUGUGUGUGUUUGUGUGCAUACGCGCAUGUGUGCAUGUCCCAGCACCCAUUCUGAGGGGAGGAGGGAGCUUUAACUGGCCGUUGGAUGUCACAGAAGCAGGAGUGUGUGAGAGAGCGCAGACAGAACAGCCGGGGGUCCUGACGGAAGAGGGAAAGACUGUGCGGAACGACAAGACAAGGGGCUGGCACGUGGACCUUUCAGCCAGCGCUUGCAAGGCAUUGGACAAUAGGAGCAGGCUGCACUACAACUCUCUGCCUGGAGCCCAGAAGCUGGUGUUGCCUGAGUCUUGACUUUGCGUUUUCUGAACGUUACGGCGGAGAGCCACUGUGCUGGGGGUCUCGUGGGCAUUGCCAGUGUGCUGGAGGUGCUGGGUGUUACCUGUGCAGUGCGUCUAAGGUUUGGGUGAGGGAGGGAGCAGCAGGGGAACAUGGCUGUACAGCUGAUGCCUGAAUCCGCCAUCUGCCUCCUUAUGCACUUUGACCACGUGUACCUCUGCAGUAGGACAGCAGAACUAAUGCAGCA